Physella acuta is the source of this 312-nucleotide long non-coding RNA. RefSeq lists it as uncharacterized. NCBI's taxonomy places the organism in Eukaryota, Metazoa, Mollusca, Gastropoda, Physidae. The record is from RefSeq and is a predicted model, not a curated record.
CAGACCCGGGCGUGUCUUACCACGAGGUGAUUAAAACCCCCUUUGACGUCAUCAGACCAGACAUCAUCUACAAGGGCGGAGACGACGAAAACAAGUACAAACUACGCAUUUGAUGACAUCAAGUCAAAUAGCUGUUUUUACAUUUUUAUAAAUUGAUGUGUACAGAUCUCCGUCACAAUGACGUCAGUGUCAGAUGAGACAUUACGUCACAUCCACAGAAUCCGCCGCUGUUAUUCAGUGUUUUUUUUUUCUAUGUCAAUGAAAUUAUAUUCGAUCUAUUGGAGGAAUAAAAUUAUUCGUUUUUUUUCUUUU